This 497-nucleotide ribosomal RNA is filed under the name uncultured bacterium. RNAcentral's name for it is "partial 16S ribosomal RNA". It matches the Rfam family "Bacterial small subunit ribosomal RNA", at positions 28 to 507 of the family's 1533-position model. The record is from RNAcentral.
GACGAACGCUGGCGGCGUGCCUAAUACAUGCAAGUAGAACGCUGAAGAGAGGAGCUUGCUCUUCUUGGAUGAGUUGCGCACGGGUGAGUAACGCGUAGGUAACCUGCCUUGUAGCGGGGGAUAACUAUUGGAAACGAUAGCUAAUACCGCAUAACAAUAGGUGACACAUGUCAUUUAUUUGAAAGGGGCAAUUGCUCCACUACAAGAUGGACCUGCGUUGUAUUAGCUAGUAGGUGAGGUAACGGCUCACCUAGGCGACGAUACAUAGCCGACCUGAGAGGGUGAUCAGCCACACUGGGACUGAGACACGGCCCAGACUCCUACGGGAGGCAGCAGUAGGGAAUCUUCGGCAAUGGGGGCAACCCUGACCGAGCAACGCCGCGUGAGUGAAGAAGGUUUUCGGAUCGUAAAGCUCUGUUGUAAGUCAAGAACGAGUGUGAGAGUGGAAAGUUCACACUGUGACGGUAGCUUACCAGAAAGGGACGGCUAACUACGUG